UACGGAGGGUGCAAGCGUUGUCCGGAAUCACUGGGCGUAAAGGGUGCGUAGGUGGCGGGGUACGUCAGGUGUGAAAUCUCGGGGCUCAACCCCGAAACUGCACUUGAUACUGCCUUGCUCGAGUACUGGAGAGGAGAUUGGAAUUUACGGUGUAGCAGUGAAAUGCGUAGAUAUCGUAAGGAAGACCAGUGGCGAAGGCGAAUCUCUGGACAGUUACUGACACUGAGGCACGAAGGCCAGGGGAGCAAACGGG
This 253-nucleotide ribosomal RNA is filed under the name uncultured bacterium. RNAcentral describes it as "partial 16S ribosomal RNA". It matches the Rfam family "Bacterial small subunit ribosomal RNA", at positions 524 to 776 of the family's 1533-position model. The record is from RNAcentral.